UACGUAGGUGGCGAGCGUUGUCCGGAAUUACUGGGCGUAAAGGGUGCGUAGGUGGUUUCUUAAGUCAGAGGUGAAAGGCUACGGCUCAACCGUAGUAAGCCUUUGAAACUGGGAAACUUGAGUGCAGGAGAGGAGAGUGGAAUUCCUAGUGUAGCGGUGAAAUGCGUAGAGAUUAGGAAGAACACCAGUGGCGAAGGCGAUUCUCUGGACUGUAACUGACGCUGAGGCUCGAAAGCGUGGGGAGCAAACAGG
Molecule: ribosomal RNA, 252 nt
Filed under: uncultured bacterium
Lineage: Bacteria
Description: partial 16S ribosomal RNA
Rfam family: Bacterial small subunit ribosomal RNA
Source: RNAcentral